CUUUUUAUUGGCCUAUUAACUAAUUGAUGUCACCAGGCAGGCCAAAACUCCAUCCCACAAAAACAGGCUGAAAUAUCAAGCGUUCUUUUCAAACAGCUCUUGAACUUAAAGGGCAUUAUUAUAAUUGUCAGAAUUUCAAAGUAUUAUUCCAACCUCAUACUGUGGAAAUAUAUAUAUAAAACUUAGGACAAUCACGUUUUUGACUGCACUGUAAAUUUCAGUAUGGCCCCGCGAUGUCUGCAUACAGACAUUCUUUCAUAAGAUGAUUUUAUUCUUAGCUCUUCAUAAAACAUGUUGUGUAAUCACAUAACUUUCUACUAAAGUUCGAGAGUUGUUUUGUAGGCCUGUCACUUCCAAAACAAGGAUUAGUGGCAACCUCAAGUGGCAAGACAAAGAACAUCCAGAGAUGAUGUCCCAUCAGCCUGUCUGUCUAUGGUGAGAGAAUUAGGAAUCCUAACCCUCCUUUACAGUGGGAUGGGUUUGUCCAACAGCGAACCCAAGCAACAGUCUGCCAAUGACCUUCCACUUCCCCACCACCACCAACAAACUAAAGGCCUGUCAUCGGAUCCCCGUUCUCCUAGUGGCGGGGGGUUUCGAUGCAAGGUGCCCAGCAUAGGGCGACCUGUCAUCAGCAUCUGGCUUCCUCGGAGACGAGGCUUACCCAAAACUAUUCAAUACAAUUCCAUAUUGUGUCCUGUCUCUGUUGUCAUUCAGCUAAGCCUGCACUCAAUUGAAUGUAUGUUUUGAGAAGGCAACUACAUUUGAAAAAGCGUUUGCUGUUUUACAAAUGGCCACACACUUCUGUGUCUUGUGAACUGGGUUUUGAAUAUUGACAUUGUUGUUCCAUAAACAAAAAUGCUUGUAUGCGAUUGAUAAAAAGUGUAAUCAGAAUAAUCAGGAAACAUAGUGGGCACAUAUUGUAUUUUUUUAAAUGUUAUUACCCGAUUCUUAAGAUCUGAAGUAGAGCCAAACAGAAAAGGACCAGCAUAAUGUUGUACGUAGGUUGCAAUUAUAUACCUACCCAUGAAGCCAAGUCCGUACAGUCAAUGCCAAGUCCAUACAUACAGCCAAGAUUAUAUGUUGGUUAAUUGGGAUGAUAAUUCUGCAUGACAAGGAAGCUGAGACCAGAAUAGAGCUGAAGAAAAGGCUCAUUGUGCCAAAAGCAGCCCACACACAAGCACUGAUCCUCUCUCUUUCAGCACUUGUCUGUUCUGGGAAGAAAACAAACAUUUGGUUGAUUGGCUUCAGUUGACCAUGGUAACGGGGGCGAAGCAGCCAAAUACGGGGCGAGUCAAAAAAAAAUCUGCUCUUACAUACAAGAUGGCUCUCUGAUGUUGUGGGUGGUGGUGUUGUGUGUGUGCUUCUCCCCAGGCUGGUUUCAGAUGGCACCUCCACCCUGGGUGCAACUGUCUGAAUCUAUGUGAUUACAGUAUUGCUCAAUAUCCUUGAAAUAGCUACAAUAUUGUUACAAUAUUGCCAUGUUUGAAUGAAAUGAUAUUACACAUAAUUCUUUGACUUUCCUCUGUUGCUGCGGUUACGACAAGGGGUGGCGUUUUCUUUGGAGCUUGGGUUGUGAUUCAAUAUCUACGGUAUACCAUAUGUAUAGCUCAGACCAAACUAACUAUAGUUAAGUAAGAGACUAGCACUAAACUGAGGGAUAAAUCCAAACAAAGAAUAAACCCCCAUUCACUGGAACAACAUCAAUAAUGGCCCUGCAAUGAAUAAAAACCUCAUUUCAAUUGACGCACACAUUUCCAUUUAGGUCUUAUAUACAGUAGCUUUAGAUGUAUGGCACACCCUUUCAUUCAUUUCAUGUGGAUCAAAUUCAGGCUCUUUGCUCUAAUACUGUCUGAGGAUUAUCACCUUCAGACUCAUGUUUCCAAUGUCAAUUCAAUCCAUUAUUUUUCCAUUCCUGGGUUUUCUUUGAAAUUUAAGUGCUGAUUUGAGUGCUGAGACUGUCUUUGCCCCCUGACAGUGGGCAAGAGUCCUCCUCCUGUCAUUUCUUCACUCAAUAUUCAUGGAUUCAUUCAGAUCUGAAACACAUAACCAUCCCGAGGCUAGCUGAAGUUCCGCUGCCUCCUGGUGUCAAGUUGUCAAU
Molecule: long non-coding RNA, 2098 nt
Filed under: Salmo salar (Atlantic salmon)
Lineage: Eukaryota; Metazoa; Chordata; Actinopteri; Salmoniformes; Salmonidae
Description: lncRNA (ENSSSAG00000119777.1)
Source: RNAcentral